AAUGAACGUUGGCGGCGUGGAUUAGGCAUGCAAGUCGAACGCUAUAUGUAGCAAUACAUGAAGAGUGGCGUAAGGGAGAGUAAUCCAUGGUUAGCUACCCUCGUGUCUGGGAUAGCGGCGGGAAACUGCCGGUAAUACCAGAUGACAUCUUCGGAUCAAAGGUGUGAUUCCGCCCGGGGAGGCGACCGUGUCCUAUCAGCUAGUUGGCGGUGUAAUAGACCACCAAGGCUAAGACGGGUAUGGGGCGUGAGAGCGUGCCCCCACUCACUGGGACUGAGACACGGCCCAGACACCAACGGGUGGCUGCAGUCGAGAAUCUUCGGCAAUGGGCGCAAGCCUGACCGAGCGACGCCGCGUGCGGGAUGAAGGCUUUCGGGUUGUAAACCGCUGUCGUAGGGGAGGAAGCGACCGUGAAGAACGGAAGUUGACCGAUCCUAGGAGGAAGGGCCGGCUAAUCUCGUGCCAGCCGCCGCGGUAA
Molecule: ribosomal RNA, 478 nt
Filed under: uncultured bacterium
Lineage: Bacteria
Description: partial 16S ribosomal RNA
Rfam family: Bacterial small subunit ribosomal RNA
Source: RNAcentral